UGGGGAAUAUUGCACAAUGGAGGGAACUCUGAUGCAGCGACGCCGCGUGAACGAAGAAGGCUUUCGAGUCGUAAAGUUCUUUUAUAUGGGAAGAUAAUGACGGUACCAUAAGAAGAAGCCCCGGCUAACUACGUGCCAGCAGCCGCGGUAAUACGUAGGGGGCUAGCGUUGUCCGGAAUCACUGGGCGUAAAGGGUUCGCAGGCGGAAAUGCAAGUCAGGUGUAAAAGGCAGUAGCUUAACUACUGUAAGCAUUUGAAACUGCAUAUCUUGAGAAGAGUAGAGGUAAGUGGAAUUUUUGGUGUGUCGGUGAAAUGCGUAAAUAUUAAAAAGAAUGCCGGUGGCGAAGGCGACUUACUGAGCUCAUUCUGACGCUGAGGAACGAAAGCGUGGGUAGCAAACAGG
RNAcentral lists this ribosomal RNA (403 nucleotides) under bacterium. Its description in RNAcentral is "partial 16S ribosomal RNA". It matches the Rfam family "Bacterial small subunit ribosomal RNA", at positions 355 to 776 of the family's 1533-position model. The record is from RNAcentral.